Molecule: transfer RNA, 71 nt
Filed under: Candidatus Pinguicoccus supinus
Lineage: Bacteria; Pseudomonadati; Verrucomicrobiota
Rfam family: tRNA
About the family: Transfer RNA (tRNA) molecules are approximately 80 nucleotides in length. Their secondary structure includes four short double-helical elements and three loops (D, anti-codon, and T loops). Further hydrogen bonds mediate the characteristic L-shaped molecular structure. tRNAs have two regions of fundamental functional importance: the anti-codon, which is responsible for specific mRNA codon recognition, and the 3' end, to which the tRNAs corresponding amino acid is attached (by aminoacyl-tRNA synthetases). tRNAs cope with the degeneracy of the genetic code in two manners: having more than one tRNA (with a specific anti-codon) for a particular amino acid; and 'wobble' base-pairing, i.e. permitting non-standard base-pairing at the 3rd anti-codon position.
Source: Rfam by way of RNAcentral
UGUCCGGUGGUGUAAUGGUAACACAAUGGAUUUUGAUUCCAUAUAUCGAGGUUCGAAUCCUUGCCGGGCAG